This 66-nucleotide transfer RNA is filed under the name Sycanus bifidus. Its description in RNAcentral is "Sycanus croceovittatus tRNA-Pro". Lineage: Eukaryota; Metazoa; Arthropoda; Insecta; Hemiptera; Reduviidae. The record is from RNAcentral.
CAGUAAGUAGUUUAAUAAAAACUUUAAUUUUGGAGAUUAAAAUUGGGGGUAAACUCUCCUUGCUGA